CAAUGCCAUUUCGCCACGUCGCACCUACGAACCAUCCGGAAAACUUCUUAAUUUGGAGACGUUUGUUGGGUAUUUCAGCCUUUUUGAUUUAUUUUUCGGGCCUUUAUUACUUUUUUUUUUUUUUUUUUUUUUUUUUUUUAGAAUCUCCGAUAAUGUUGGCCUUAAACAUUUAAAAUUACAUAUAUUUUUUUCAAAUAUGACUCAAAAAAAAAUCAAACACAAAACGAAUCCAUGAUUUUUUUAAAAAUUUUAUUUGCUUUAUUCACUUUUGAAGUUCAGAUUAUUUACGAAAAUACCAUUACAUUUUUUUUUUUGAAAAUAAGUGUUUU
This 329-nucleotide long non-coding RNA is filed under the name Brassica rapa (field mustard). RNAcentral describes it as "long non-coding RNA (BRAP_LNC002598)". The record is from RNAcentral. Lineage: Eukaryota; Viridiplantae; Streptophyta; Magnoliopsida; Brassicales; Brassicaceae.